Molecule: long non-coding RNA, 2110 nt
Filed under: Homo sapiens (human)
Lineage: Eukaryota; Metazoa; Chordata; Mammalia; Primates; Hominidae
Description: HSALNT0342432
Source: RNAcentral
UUAAAGGUCAGAUGGUAAAGAUAGCCUUUGUUAGUAAAAACAACCAAAGAAUAAAGAGGAAAACCAGAAUACUGUGGAAUCAUGUCUAAGAGAAGAGAGUUUUAAGAAAGAGUAGCCAACAGUGUCAGGUGCCACUGAGAGGACAAACAGCCGAGACUAACAAAGGUUCUGGGAAAGUGGAGGAGAUGGAAUUCAGAGCAUAGGUAGAAGAAUCUACCUUAGGAAGAGGAACCCCAUCCUGCUGAAAAAGGAAAGAAAGAGAAGAUGGACACUAACACAGGUAGCUCAAUUCUCAGUUGAUGGCUUCAACCUUGUUCUGUGAAACAGAGUGAAGACUGAACAGAAUGAACUCAGGCGUUAGAAUGUGGGGUUUAAACAGAGUCAAGAAUUUAGGUGGAGGCUGGGCGCGGUGGCUCACACCUGUAAUCCCAGGCCUUUGGGAGGCCGAUGCAGGCAGAUCAACUUGAGGUCAGGAGUUCAAGACCAGCCUGGCCAACAUGGUGAAACUCUGUCUCUGCUAAAAAUUAGCCAGGCAUGGUGGUGUGUGCCUGUGAUCCCAGCCACACAGGAGGCUGAAGCAGGAGAAUCGCUUGAACCCGGGAGGCAGAGGUUGCAGUGAGCCAAGAUCGCACUACUGUACUCCAGCCUGGGCGACAGAGCAAGACACUCCAUCUCAAAAAAAAAAAAAAAAAAAAAAAAAAAUUAGGUGGAAAAGAAGUCUGGAUACCAGGUGCCCUAUUAUCUCAAUACAUGAGGUGGAAUGGCUGAAGAGACAAAAAUCAGUCUUAAGGAGAAUAGGGAAAUAGAGCCAGAUUGCAUGAGUCUCAAGGAAGUCCACAUUUUUAUAAGAAGUUGGGGGCAGUAACAGUCUGGAAGUGGCAACAAGAAGGAUGGCACCGAAAUGACCUCCAACCCUGAGGGAUUAGGGUUUGAGAAAAUACAUAGCUACAACUAGAGAGCAUUUUGAAUUCAGAAGAGACUUCAGGGAGAAGCUGCCAACCUAUGGACUUCAGAACCUCAAGAAGCUGUAAAAUUAAUCAUCAGAGGAGAUUUGCAAAUCUAUACUGAUAUCAAGCACUGUUUUAGGCUGAACAAAAUAAUGUCUCAUGCCUAAAUACUGUUAAUUUUGAAAUAUAUGUAAAUACUUUCAUGACUAAUUUUUAAAGGGUGCUAAAAUGGAAUCUUCAUAUUGAAAAAGAUUAGGAACACACUGUCUAUGGAUUGCCCUGUUCACUCUGCCAGUCUACACACUCAUCACCUCUUCCAUUACAGUCCUGACAGAUUGUUAUCCAGCUGCAACCGUAUGAUGAAGUCACUUAUUCAUAUAAAUGGUUUGAACAUUUUCCAUAACACUAAGAACACCUCUUUGUAAGGAAACUUGUAUUUUUAGACAGCUUUCAUUUUGACAAAUGUACUUUCUUCCCCAGAACUUCUAACAUUCUAGAAUUACUCAGAAUUAGCUUCAUUCAUUUUGCACGACAGCCCCUGAAACACUUAAGACAGUUCACAUGUCCUUCCUAAGGCUUUUCUCUCACACUCUGUCCUUCAGUCAGGGAUGUGACACAAUUCCUCAUUCUACCACUCUCCUCGUGCCCCUUCAGUAUGUAUCCAUUUGUCUCUCUGAAAACUCUAAACACAGCACAGCACACUAGAUUUGAUCUGCCUGUGACAACGCACAGUAGAAUGAUUAUGUCCCCUGACCUAGACACUAUAUUUCUAUCAGUGUUACCUAAGUCAGGAUUUUUAAAGCCUUGUAGUCAGCUAAAAAAUUUAGGACUUAAGCCAGCUCUCUCCCAUCUUAUUUCAAUACAAGAGAGUUUUCUGUAGCCAACUGUCCAUUAAAUCUUACCUUGCCACUAUGGGAUCAUUUAUUCCAGCCUAUUAAGGUUUUUCAGAAUCUUGAUUUUUGUCCUCUAACAUAUUAGCUAUUUCUCCCAGUUUUACAUCAUUUGUAAAUUUGAGAAGGUUCAUUCUAUCGUACAGCUUAUUCAUUCUUGGCACUUAAAUAGAUGAUUUUUUCAUGUUUAAAUGUCAUGACUAAUGACAUCACAUUUGGAAAACACUAAUUUUUAUAUUUAGUAUAUCAUUACAUAAUUCAAGACAUUUUACC